This 491-nucleotide ribosomal RNA is filed under the name uncultured bacterium. RNAcentral's name for it is "bacterial SSU rRNA". It matches the Rfam family "Bacterial small subunit ribosomal RNA", at positions 38 to 524 of the family's 1533-position model. The record is from RNAcentral.
CGGCGGCAGCUUACACAUGCAGUCGAGCGGUAACAUUUCUAGCUUGCUAGAAGAUGACGAGCGGCGGACGGGUGAGUAAUACUUAGGAAUCUACCUAGUAGUGGGGGAUAGCUCGGGGAAACUCGAAUUAAUACCGCAUACGACCUACGGGAGAAAGGGGGCAACUUGUUGCUCUCGCUAUUAGAUGAGCCUAAGUCGGAUUAGCUAGAUGGUGGGGUAAGGGCCUACCAUGGCGACGAUCUGUAGCUGGUCUGAGAGGAUGAUCAGCCACACCGGGACUGAGACACGGCCCGGACUCCUACGGGAGGCAGCAGUGGGGAAUAUUGGACAAUGGGGGAAACCCUGAUCCAGCCAUGCCGCGUGUGUGAAGAAGGCCCUUUGGUUGUAAAGCACUUUAAGCAGUGAAGAAGACUCUUCGGUUAAUACCCGGAGACGAUGACAUUAGCUGCAGAAUAAGCACCGGCUAACUCUGUGCCAGCAGCCGCGGUAAU